UUAGCAGCCCUGGAAACUCAUGUCCUCUGUUCAGCCACAGAACAAGUACAGCAUCUUUAGUGGCUCUUCUCCACAACCCCACACCAAUCUGCCUCAUUUAUGACCUAGAGAAAAUAUUCCUUGGGGUUAAAGAGUGAUUCUGGCUCCAUGUUCACUCAGACCAUGGCCUCU
RNAcentral lists this small RNA (171 nucleotides) under Gopherus agassizii (Agassiz's desert tortoise). RNAcentral describes it as "TUC338 (ENSGAGG00000025508.1)". The record is from RNAcentral. Lineage: Eukaryota; Metazoa; Chordata; Testudines; Testudinidae.